RNAcentral lists this transfer RNA (72 nucleotides) under Blumeria hordei DH14. RNAcentral's name for it is "tRNA-Gln (CTG) (tRNA-Gln-CTG-6-1)". It matches the Rfam family "tRNA". From Rfam's summary of the family: Transfer RNA (tRNA) molecules are approximately 80 nucleotides in length. Their secondary structure includes four short double-helical elements and three loops (D, anti-codon, and T loops). Further hydrogen bonds mediate the characteristic L-shaped molecular structure. tRNAs have two regions of fundamental functional importance: the anti-codon, which is responsible for specific mRNA codon recognition, and the 3' end, to which the tRNAs corresponding amino acid is attached (by aminoacyl-tRNA synthetases). tRNAs cope with the degeneracy of the genetic code in two manners: having more than one tRNA (with a specific anti-codon) for a particular amino acid; and 'wobble' base-pairing, i.e. permitting non-standard base-pairing at the 3rd anti-codon position. The record is from RNAcentral. Lineage: Eukaryota; Fungi; Ascomycota; Leotiomycetes; Helotiales; Erysiphaceae.
GGCCAGUUAUUGUAGUGGGCAUCACGUCGGAUUCUGAUUCCGGAAACGCUGGUUCGAUUCCGGCACAGGUCU